UUUCAUGCACCUCAGGUUGAAUCACUACUUGAGGUUCUCCCCAAUCGAUUAACAGGUGAUAUUUUGGAACAACUUCGCACUAGCAAGCAAACUUUGGUCGAGUUGGGAUCUUGAUCUCGGGAUCUCAGGCAGAUGCUACUUGAUCUAUUGGAAGAUACACAGGAAUUGCGCAGGAUAUGUAUUAUGGGAAGGAAUUGCACAGUUGAUAGAAUAACUCACUCCUUAGAACGCUCAGUCCCCUUGGACAAAGAUAUUGCAGAGGAAGAGGAGGAAGAAAUUGAAAUGUUGUUGGAAAACUAUCUUCAGAGGUAGUUUUAACCCUUCAAACAUGCCUUUUUUCUCAUUUCUUUCAUCUAUUUAAUAUACCAGGCAGUUCAUCAAGAAUGCUUGU
Long non-coding RNA from Chenopodium quinoa (quinoa), 391 nucleotides. RefSeq lists it as uncharacterized. Lineage: Eukaryota; Viridiplantae; Streptophyta; Magnoliopsida; Caryophyllales; Amaranthaceae. The record is from RefSeq and is a predicted model, not a curated record. The transcript is spliced from 3 exons.